GUGAAAAAUAGAUGAACUAAGAGAAAAAGAAUCUGACGCUCUUUUUAGCUGAUUCUGGACAUAUGCAUUAUUGAUGUUGCAGUGUUAAAACUACAAGCGUUAGAAAGUUGAAGAUGUUGUCUGUUUACGGAAGCUCUGAAAGACUAGGGUGUGAUUUAUUAACGACCAGCUUCCGUUAUUGUGUGUUAAGUUUUUCAUCUGUGCGUCAAAUCACAAAGAAUAAAUAGAACUUUUUCCUUUAUCAGUCCCUUGGGCACAGCAGGUCAGGAACACCCUGCUCAGAAUGUUGCAUCAGGACUUCAAACAUCAAAAUAAAAACCAUGAGGAGGAAAUCCCCAUCUUGUCACUUGAGUCCCUUCAGUCUACAGGGACUGGUUACAGCUUUUUGCUAAUAGGAAGAUCACAUUAUUAGAAAAUGUGGAGUAAACUAUUUGCCUGUGGUAGACACCUGCACGCAUAGGAUUGAAGACAGUACCGGCUCCUGUACAGAGAAGCGUCUCUCACAUCUGAACUGCAUGCUGAGUGGGCAAGUUGGUUGUAAGUUCAGAAAAAGCCUCCGAUAAUGCAAAAAAAAAAAAAACAGUAUUAAGUUUCACAAGCUGUUUGUAAUCAAAAAUAUUUUCUCAGUUUCAGAUGCUCUGCUAUUUUAUUGAGUGGAAAGUCUUGC
This 667-nucleotide long non-coding RNA is filed under the name Homo sapiens (human). RNAcentral's name for it is "non-protein coding lnc-CDY1-21:1". Lineage: Eukaryota; Metazoa; Chordata; Mammalia; Primates; Hominidae. The record is from RNAcentral.